CUUAGCCUUAAACCUAGGUGAUUACAACAACAAAAUCACUCGCCAGAGUACUACUAGCAACAGCUUAAAACUCAAAGGACUUGGCGGUGCUUCAUACCCCCUAGAGGAGCCUGUUCUAUAAUCGAUAAACCCCGAUCAACCUCACCAACCCUUGCUAAUUCAGUCUAUAUACCGCCAUCUCCAGCAAACCCCUAUAGGGAUCAAUAGUAAGCUUAACUAUUCAAACAUAAAAACGUUAGGUCAAGGUGUAACCGAUGGGCUGGGAAGAAAUGGGCUACAUUUUCUUGUCUUAAGAAAACUUCAAAAUCCUUACGAAAGCCCCUAUGAAACUGAGGGCCCAAGGAGGAUUUAGUAGUAAAUCAAGAAUAGAGUGCUUGAUUGAACUAGGCCAUGAAG
This 396-nucleotide ribosomal RNA is filed under the name Camelus bactrianus (Bactrian camel). RNAcentral's name for it is "partial 12S ribosomal RNA". It matches the Rfam family "Bacterial small subunit ribosomal RNA", at positions 795 to 1379 of the family's 1533-position model. The record is from RNAcentral. Lineage: Eukaryota; Metazoa; Chordata; Mammalia; Artiodactyla; Camelidae.